AAGUGAGAAGCAACAUUUUGCAAUCAGUUUCGACCUGAUCAUAGAUAGCAAUUAACCUAUCCUCACUAU
Molecule: transfer RNA, 69 nt
Filed under: Coptotermes formosanus (Formosan subterranean termite)
Lineage: Eukaryota; Metazoa; Arthropoda; Insecta; Blattodea; Rhinotermitidae
Also listed under: 1 other name
Description: tRNA-Arg
Source: RNAcentral